This 235-nucleotide unclassified non-coding RNA is filed under the name Hevea brasiliensis (rubber tree). The record is from RNAcentral. Lineage: Eukaryota; Viridiplantae; Streptophyta; Magnoliopsida; Malpighiales; Euphorbiaceae.
AUAAUAAUAAUGAUGAUGAUGAUGGAGUGUAUAUUAUGAUCAGCAUGGCAAUAGCCAUUUAAUUUAUUUUUGUUGAACGAUUAUUGGUAAAAUUGCUUUAUGGUCCAAUUCUGCUAUUUGCUGUUUUAUUAAGCAGAUUAAGGAAUAAUGAUUCUCCAUCAAAAUUGAAUUCCAUUUACAUCAUGUAUUUUUUUUUUUAUCUAAAUUUCUCAAUUUAAUCUCAUUUGAAACAAAA